UACAGAGAACGAUACCCUCGGGAAACUGAGGCUAAUAGUUCAUACCCGUCCCAGGCUGGAAUGCCGGGACGCGCAAACGUUCCGACGCUGUAGGACGUGGCUGCGGCCGAUUAGGUAGACGGUGGGGUAACGGCCCACCGUGCCGAUAAUCGGUACGGGUUGUGAGAGCAAGAACCCGGAGACGGAAUCUGAGACAAGAUUCCGGGCCCUACGGGGCGCAGCAGGCGCGAAACCUUUACACUGCACGCAAGUGCGAUAAGGGGACCCCGAGUGCGAGGGCAUACAGUCCUCGCUUUUCACCACCGUAAGGUGGUGGUGGAAUAAGAGCUGGGCAAGACCGGUGCCAGCCGCCGCGGUAAUACCGGCAGCUCGAGUGAUGGCCGAUCUUAUUGGGCCUAAAGCGUCCGUAGCCGGCCACACAAGUCCAUCGGGAAAUCCGCCAGCCCAACUGGCGGGCGUCCGGUGGAAACUGUGUGGCUCGGGAUCGGAAGACCCAACGGGUACGUCUUGGGUAGGAGUGAAAUCCCGUAAUCCUGGACGGACCACCGAUAGCGAAAGCACGUUGGGAAGACGAAUCCGACGGUGAGGGACGAAAGCCAGGGUCUCGAACCGGAUUAGAUACCCGGGUAGUCCUGGCCGUAAACGAUGUCUGCUAGGUGUGGCUCCCACUACGAGUGGGUGCUGUGCCGUAGGGAAGCCGCUAAGCAGACCGCCUGGGAAGUACGUCCGCAAGGAUGAAACUUAAAGGAAUUGGCGG
This 757-nucleotide ribosomal RNA is filed under the name uncultured Haloplanus sp. RNAcentral's name for it is "bacterial SSU rRNA". It matches the Rfam family "Archaeal small subunit ribosomal RNA", at positions 115 to 871 of the family's 1478-position model. Lineage: Archaea; Methanobacteriati; Methanobacteriota; Halobacteria; Halobacteriales; Haloferacaceae. The record is from RNAcentral.